RNAcentral lists this ribosomal RNA (1430 nucleotides) under uncultured bacterium. RNAcentral's name for it is "partial 16S ribosomal RNA". It matches the Rfam family "Bacterial small subunit ribosomal RNA". The record is from RNAcentral.
AGGAGUCGCCUUAGAGUUGAUCUGGCUCAGAACGAACGCUGGCGGCGUGGCUAAGACAUGCAAGUCGUACGAUAUGUUGUAGCAAUAUGACAUAUAGUGGCGGACGGGUGAGUAAUGAAUAGGUAACGUACCCCGGGCACAGGAAUAGCGUCGAACCCCGCAAGGGGUUCUUUGCGAAAGUGACGGUAAUACCUGGUGAAGUCAUUGAGGGGCAUCUCUUGAUGACCAUAGGGUGGGGACCUUCGGGCCUAUCGGCCUGGGAGCGGCCUAUUCCCUAUCAGCUAGUUGGUGAGGUAACGGCUCACCAAGGCAACGACGGGUAACCGGACUGAGAGGUUGGCCGGUCACAUCGGGACUGAGACACUGCCCGGACAUCUACGGAUGGCUGCAGUAACGAAUAUUCCGCAAUGGGCGCAAGCCUGACGGAGCGACGCCGCGUGGAGGACGAAUUCCUUCGGGAUGUAAACUCCUUUUAGGGAUCUGAAAACAGAGCGCGCUAAUACCGCGCGAGUUGAUCUAUCCAGAAAAAGCCUCGGCUAAACCCGUGCCAGCAGCCGCGGUAAUUCGGGUGAGGCAAGCGUUGUUCGGAAUCACUGGGCUUAAAGCGCGUGUAGGCGGUUCGGUAAGUACCUUGUGAAAUCCCUUUUCUCAAUGAAGGAAUGGCUGGGUAUACUGCCGGACUGGAGGCAGGUAGGGGUCACUGGAACUCUAGGUGGAGCGGUGAAAUGCGUAGAUAUCUAGAGGAACGCCCGUGGCGAAAGCGGGUGACUGGGCCUGUCCUGACGCUGAGACGCGAAAGCGUGGGAGCAAACAGGAUUAGAUACCCUGGUAGUCCUAGCCCUAAACGAUGAUUGCUUGGUGUGGCGGGUACCCAAUCCCGUCGUGCCGCAGCUAACGCGUUAAGCAAUCCGCCUGGGGAGUACGGCCGCAAGGCUGAAACUCAAAGGAAUUGACGGGGGCCCGCACAAGCGGUGGAGCAUGUGGUUCAAUUCGACGCAACGCGAAGAACCUUACCUGGGCUCGAAAUGCAGUGGACCGGGGUGGAAACAUCCCUUUCCGCAAGGACUGCUGCAUAGGUGCUGCAUGGCUGUCGUCAGCUCGUGUCGUGAGAUGUUGGGUUAAGUCCCGCAACGAGCGCAACCCUUAUUGCCAGUUGCUAACACGUUAUGGUGAGCACUCUGGCGAAACCGCCCCGGAUAACGGGGAGGAAGGUGGGGAUGACGUCAAGUCCUCAUGGCCUUUAUGUCCAGGGCUACACACGUGCUACAAUGGCCGAUACAAACCGUCGCAAACCCGCGAGGGGGAGCUAAUCGGAAAAAGUCGGCCUCAGUUCGGAUUGUAGUCUGCAACUCGACUACAUGAAGCUGGAAUCGCUAGUAAUCGCGGAUCAGCACGCCGCGGUGAUACAUCCCCCGGGCAUUGUACACACU